GAUGAACGCUGGCGGCGUGCUUAACACAUCCAAGUCGAACGGAAAGGCCAGUGCUUGCACUGGUACUCGAGUGGCGAACGGGUGAGUAACACGUGGGUGAUCUGCCCUGUACUUCGGGAUAAGCUUGGGAAACUGGGUCUAAUACCGGAUAGGACAACUUUUUGGAUAUUGUUGUGGAAAGCUUUUGCGGUAUGGGAUGAGCUCGCGGCCUAUCAGCUUGUUGGUGGGGUAAUGGCCUACCAAGGCGUCGACGGGUAGCCGGCCUGAGAGGGUGUACGGCCACAUUGGGACUGAGAUACGGCCCAGACUCCUACGGGAGGCAGCAGUGGGGAAUAUUGCACAAUGGGCGCAAGCCUGAUGCAGCGACGCCGCGUGGGGGAUGAAGGCCUUCGGGUUGUAAACUCCUUUCGCUAGGGACGAAGCUUUUUUGUGACGGUACCUGGAGAAGAAGCACCGGCUAACUACGUG
This 468-nucleotide ribosomal RNA is filed under the name uncultured bacterium. RNAcentral's name for it is "partial 16S ribosomal RNA". It matches the Rfam family "Bacterial small subunit ribosomal RNA", at positions 28 to 507 of the family's 1533-position model. The record is from RNAcentral.